RNAcentral lists this ribosomal RNA (465 nucleotides) under uncultured bacterium. Its description in RNAcentral is "partial 16S ribosomal RNA". It matches the Rfam family "Bacterial small subunit ribosomal RNA", at positions 28 to 507 of the family's 1533-position model. The record is from RNAcentral.
GACGAACGCUGGCGGCGUGCUUAACACAUGCAAGUCGAACGGAAAGGCCCCUUUGGGGGUACUCGAGUGGCGAACGGGUGCGUAACACGUGAGUAACCUGCCCUUGACUUCGGGAUAACUUCAGGAAACUGGGGCUAAUACCGGAUAGGAAUCCUUGCUUCAUGGGGGGGGUUGGAAAGCUUCGGCGGUUUUGGAUGGACUCGCGGCUUAUCAGCUUGUUGGUGGGGUAGUGGCUUACCAAGGCUUUGACGGGUAGCCGGCCUGAGAGGGCGACCGGCCACAGUGGGACUGAGAUAAGGCCCAGAUUCCUACGGGAGGAAGAAGUGGGGAAUCUUGCACAAUGGGCGGAAGCCUGAUGCAGAAACGCCGCGUGCGGGAUGACGGUCUUAGGGUUGUAAACCGCUUUCAGCAGGGGCGAAGCUUGUGGUGACGGUACCUGCAGAAGAAGCACCGGCUAACUACGUG